Molecule: ribosomal RNA, 448 nt
Filed under: uncultured bacterium
Lineage: Bacteria
Description: bacterial SSU rRNA
Rfam family: Bacterial small subunit ribosomal RNA
Source: RNAcentral
CCCAGACUCCUACGGGAGGCAGCAGUGGGGGAUAUUGCACAAUGGGGGGAACCCUGAUGCGGCGACGCCGCGUGGGUGAAGAAGUAUUUCGGUAUGUAAAGCCCUAUCGGCAGGGAAGAAAUUGGACGGUACCUGACUAAGAAGCCCCGGCUAACUACGUGCCAGCAGCCGCGGUAAUACGUAGGGGGCAAGCGUUAUCCGGAUUCACUGGGUGUAAAGGGAGCGUAGACGGCCAUGCAAGCCUGGAGUGAAAGCCCGGGGCCCAACCCCGGGACUGCUCUGGGAACUGUGCGGCUGGAGUGCGGGAGGGGCAGGCGGAAUUCCUGGUGUAGCGGUGAAAUGCGUAGAUAUCAGGAGGAACACCGGCGGCGAAGGCGGCCUGCUGGACCGCGACUGACGUUGAGGCUCGAAAGCGUGGGGAGCAAACAGGAUUAGAUACCCGAGUAAU